GUCUACGGCCACGCCAAGAUGUCUGAACAAGCCCAAUGUCUGAUCUCGGAAGUUAAGCAGGGUUGGGCCUGGUUAAUACUUGGAUGGAAGACCACCUAGGAAGACCAGAUGCUACUGGCA
This 120-nucleotide ribosomal RNA is filed under the name Pteropus alecto (black flying fox). The record is from RNAcentral. Lineage: Eukaryota; Metazoa; Chordata; Mammalia; Chiroptera; Pteropodidae.